UACAGAGGGGGCAAGCGUUGUUCGGAAUUACUGGGCGUAAAGGGCGCGUAGGCGGCCUGCUAAGUCGAACGUGAAAUCCCUGGGCUCAACCCAGGAACUGCGUCCGAUACUGGGUGGCUUGAGUUCGGGAGAGGAAUGUGGAAUUCCAGGUGUAGCGGUGAAAUGCGUAGAUAUCUGAAGGAACACCGGUGGCGAAGGCGGCAUUCUGGACCGAAACUGACGCUGAGGCGCGAAAGCCAGGGGAGCAAACGGG
This 253-nucleotide ribosomal RNA is filed under the name uncultured bacterium. Its description in RNAcentral is "partial 16S ribosomal RNA". It matches the Rfam family "Bacterial small subunit ribosomal RNA", at positions 524 to 776 of the family's 1533-position model. The record is from RNAcentral.